RNAcentral lists this ribosomal RNA (465 nucleotides) under uncultured bacterium. RNAcentral describes it as "partial 16S ribosomal RNA". It matches the Rfam family "Bacterial small subunit ribosomal RNA", at positions 339 to 795 of the family's 1533-position model. The record is from RNAcentral.
CUACGGGCGGCAGCAGUGAGGAAUUUUGCGCAAUGGGGGCAACCCUGACGCAGCAACGCCGCGUGAGUGAAGAAGGCCUUUGGGUCGUAAAGCUCUGUCAACAGGGAAGAAGUUACGAUUGUUUAAUAGAUGAUUGUAUUGACGGUACCUGUGGAGGAAGCGCCGGCUAACUCCGUGCCAGCAGCCGCGGUAAUACGGGGGGCGCAAGCGUUAUUCGGAAUUAUUGGGCGUAAAGGGCGCGCAGGCGGUCUUGUCCGUCAGGUGUGAAAGCUCGGGGCUCAACCCCGGAAGUGCACUUGAAACAGCAAGGCUUGAAUACGGGAGAGGAAAGCGGAAUUCCUGGUGUAGAGGUGACAUUCGUAGAUAUCAGGAGGAACACCGAUGGCGAAGGCAGCUUUCUGGACCGAUAUUGACGCUGAGGCGCGAAGGCGUGGGUAGCGAACGGGAUUAGAUACCCUGGUAGUC